AGUGAACGCUGGCGGUAGGCCUAACACAUGCAAGUCGAACGGCAGCACAGUAAGAGCUUGCUCUUACGGGUGGCGAGUGGCGGACGGGUGAGGAAUACAUCGGAAUCUACUUUUUCGUGGGGGAUAACGUAGGGAAACUUACGCUAAUACCGCAUACGACCUACGGGUGAAAGCAGGGGAUCUUCGGACCUUGCGCGAUUGAAUGAGUCGAUGUCGGAUUAGCUAGUUGGCGGGGUAAAGGCCCACCAAGGCGACGAUCCGCAGCUGGUCUGAGAGGAUGAUCAGCCACACUGGAACUGAGACACGGUCCAGACUCCUACGGGAGGCAGCAGUGGGGAAUAUUGGACAAUGGGCGCAAGCCUGAUCCAGCCAUACCGCGUGGGUGAAGAAGGCCUUCGGGUUGUAAAGCCCUUUUGUUGGGAAAGAAAAGCAGCAGGUUAAUACCCCGCUGUUCUGACGGUACCCAAAGAAUAAGCACCGGCUAACUUCGUG
RNAcentral lists this ribosomal RNA (492 nucleotides) under uncultured bacterium. Its description in RNAcentral is "partial 16S ribosomal RNA". It matches the Rfam family "Bacterial small subunit ribosomal RNA", at positions 29 to 507 of the family's 1533-position model. The record is from RNAcentral.